CAUGCAGUCGACGCUGAAGCCCCAGCUUGCUGGGGUGGAUGAGUGGCGAACGGGUGAGUAACACGUGAGUAACCUGCCCAUCACUCUGGGAUAAGCGCUGGAAACGGCGUCUAAUACUGGAUACGAGCAGCGACCGCAUGGUCAGUUGCUGGAAAGACUGGUUCGGUGAUGGAUGGACUCGCGGCCUAUCAGCUUGUUGGUGAGGUAAUGGCUCACCAAGGCGACGACGGGUAGCCGGCCUGAGAGGGUGACCGGCCACACUGGGACUGAGACACGGCCCAGACUCCUACGGGAGGCAGCAGUGGGGAAUAUUGCACAAUGGGCGCAAGCCUGAUGCAGCAACGCCGCGUGAGGGAUGACGGCCUUCGGGUUGUAAACCUCUUUUAGUAGGGAAGAAGCCUUCGGGUGACGGUACCUGCAGAAAAAGCACCGGCUAACUACGUGCCAGCAGCCGCGGUAAUACGUAGGGUGCAAGCGUUGUCCGGAAUUAUUGGGCGUAAAGAGCUCGUAGGCGGCUUGUCGCGUCUGCUGUGAAAACCCGAGGCUCAACCUCGGGCCUGCAGUGGGUACGGGCAAGCUAGAGUGCGGUAGGGGAGAUUGGAAUUCCUGGUGUAGCGGUGGAAUGCGCAGAUAUCAGGAGGAACACCGAUGGCGAAGGCAGAUCUCUGGGCCGUAACUGACGCUGAGGAGCGAAAGCAUGGGGAGCGAACAGGAUUAGAUACCCUGGUAGUCCAUGCCGUAAACGUUGGGAACUAGAUGUAGGGCCUGUUCCACGGGUUCUGUGUCGUAGCUAACGCAUUAAGUUCCCCGCCUGGGGAGUACGGCCGCAAGGCUAAAACUCAAAGGAAUUGACGGGGGCCCGCACAAGCGGCGGAGCAUGCGGAUUAAUUCGAUGCAACGCGAAGAACCUUACCAAGGCUUGACAUAUAGAAGAACGGGUCAGAAAUGAUUCACUCUUUGGACACUUCUAUACAGGUGGGUGCAUGGGUUGUCGUCAGCUCGUGUCCGUGAGAUGUUCGGGUUAAGUCCCGGGCAACGAGCGCAACCCUUCGUCCUAAUGUUGCCAGCACCGUAAUGGUGGGGAACUCAUGGGGAUACUUGCCGUGGUCAACACGGGAGGAAAGGUGGGGGAUGACGUCAAAUCAUCAUGGCCCCUUAAUGUCUUGGGGCUUCACGCAUUGUUACAAUGGGCCGGGUACAAUGGGGUUGCCGAUACCC
Molecule: ribosomal RNA, 1218 nt
Filed under: Leucobacter tardus
Lineage: Bacteria; Bacillati; Actinomycetota; Actinomycetes; Micrococcales; Microbacteriaceae
Description: bacterial SSU rRNA
Rfam family: Bacterial small subunit ribosomal RNA
Source: RNAcentral